RNAcentral lists this ribosomal RNA (710 nucleotides) under uncultured soil bacterium. Its description in RNAcentral is "bacterial SSU rRNA". It matches the Rfam family "Bacterial small subunit ribosomal RNA", at positions 8 to 698 of the family's 1533-position model. The record is from RNAcentral.
AGAGUUUGAUCCUGGCUCAGAACGAACGUUAGCGGCGCGCCUAACACAUGCAAGUCGCACGAGAAAGGGCUUCGGCCCCGGUAAAGUGGCGCACGGGUGAGUAACACGUGGGUAAUGUUCCCUCGGGCGGGGGAUAACCCUCCGAAAGGAAGGCUAAUACCGCAUAAGACCACGGCCUCGAAAGAGGCUGAGGUAAAAGCAGGCCUCUGCAUGCAAGCUUGCACCUGAGGAUCAGCCCGCGGCCCAUCAGCUAGUUGGUAGGGUAAUGGCCUACCAAGGCUAAGACGGGUAGCUGGUAUGAGAGGAUGAUCAGCCACACUGGAACUGAGACACGGUCCAGACUCCUACGGGAGGCAGCAGUGGGGAAUCUUGCGCAAUGGGCGAAAGCCUGACGCAGCGACGCCGCGUGGGUGAUGAAGGCCUUCGGGUUGUAAAGCCCUGUGGGGAGAGACGAAUAAGUCGGAGCCAAUACCUCCGGCGAUGACGGUAUUUCCUUAGCAAGCACCGGCUAACUCUGUGCCAGCAGCCGCGGUAAGACAGAGGGUGCAAACGUUGUUCGGAAUUACUGGGCGUAAAGCGUGUGUAGGCGGCCGCGCAAGUCGGAUGUGAAAGCCCCGGGCUCAACCCGGGAAGUGCACCCGAAACUGCGUGGCUUGAGUACCGGAGAGGUUGGUGGAAUUCUCGGUGUAGAGGUGAAAUUCGUAGAUAUC